RNAcentral lists this ribosomal RNA (1432 nucleotides) under uncultured organism. Its description in RNAcentral is "16S ribosomal RNA". It matches the Rfam family "Bacterial small subunit ribosomal RNA". The record is from RNAcentral.
GCUUAACACAUGCAAGUCGAGGGGCAUCAGGAAGAAAGCUUGCUUUCUUUGCUGGCGACCGGCGCACGGGUGAGUAACACGUAUCCAACCUGCCCUUUACUCGGGGAUAGCCUUUCGAAAGAAAGAUUAAUACCCGAUAGCAUAAUGAUUCCGCAUGGUUUCAUUAUUAAAGGAUUCCGGUAAAGGAUGGGGAUGCGUUCCAUUAGGUUGUUGGUGAGGUAACGGCCCACCAAGCCUUCGAUGGAUAGGGGUUCUGAGAGGAAGGUCCCCCACAUUGGAACUGAGACACGGUCCAAACUCCUACGGGAGGCAGCAGUGAGGAAUAUUGGUCAAUGGGCGCUAGCCUGAACCAGCCAAGUAGCGUGAAGGAUGAAGGCUCUAUGGGUCGUAAACUUCUUUUAUAUAAGAAUAAAGUGCAGUAUGUAUACUGUUUUGUAUGUAUUAUAUGAAUAAGGAUCGGCUAACUCCGUGCCAGCAGCCGCGGUAAUACGGAGGAUCCGAGCGUUAUCCGGAUUUAUUGGGUUUAAAGGGAGCGUAGGUGGACUGGUAAGUCAGUUGUGAAAGUUUGCGGCUCAACCGUAAAAUUGCAGUUGAUACUGUCAGUCUUGAGUACAGUAGAGGUGGGCGGAAUUCGUGGUGUAGCGGUGAAAUGCUUAGAUAUCACGAAGAACUCCGAUUGCGAAGGCAGCUCACUGGACUGCAACUGACACUGAUGCUCGAAAGUGUGGGUAUCAAACAGGAUUAGAUACCCUGGUAGUCCACACAGUAAACGAUGAAUACUCGCUGUUUGCGAUAUACAGUAAGCGGCCAAGCGAAAGCAUUAAGUAUUCCACCUGGGGAGUACGCCGGCAACGGUGAAACUCAAAGGAAUUGACGGGGGCCCGCACAAGCGGAGGAACAUGUGGUUUAAUUCGAUGAUACGCGAGGAACCUUACCCGGGCUUAAAUUGCAGUGGAAUGAUGUGGAAACAUGUCAGUGAGCAAUCACCGCUGUGAAGGUGCUGCAUGGUUGUCGUCAGCUCGUGCCGUGAGGUGUCGGCUUAAGUGCCAUAACGAGCGCAACCCUUAUCUUCAGUUACUAACAGGUUAUGCUGAGGACUCUGGAGAGACUGCCGUCGUAAGAUGUGAGGAAGGUGGGGAUGACGUCAAAUCAGCACGGCCCUUACGUCCGGGGCUACACACGUGUUACAAUGGGGGGUACAGAAGGCAGCUACCUGGUGACAGGAUGCUAAUCCCAAAAGCCUCUCUCAGUUCGGAUCGAAGUCUGCAACCCGACUUCGUGAAGCUGGAUUCGCUAGUAAUCGCGCAUCAGCCACGGCGCGGUGAAUACGUUCCCGGGCCUUGUACACACCGCCCGUCAAGCCAUGGGAGCCGGGGGUACCUGAAGUACGUAACCGCAAGGAUCGUCCUAGGGUAAAACUGGUGACUGGGGC